AUAAAAUUAGUUAAAUUAAUAACAUAGGCUUGUCAAGCCUAAAUUAUCCUUUAGAUAUUUUUUA
Molecule: transfer RNA, 64 nt
Filed under: Crangon hakodatei
Lineage: Eukaryota; Metazoa; Arthropoda; Malacostraca; Decapoda; Crangonidae
Description: tRNA-Asp
Source: RNAcentral